GGAAGGAUGUCGUGCACGCGCACACGCUCUUGUCAGCAGAACAGAUACAGCUCGCGCUCGCAGACGAACAUCACGCGCUCAUUCUGAAUUAAAGUGAAUUAAAACGUCCUCGGUACAAGACUGGAGUUAUUCGAUUUAAGAGUUAGAGCCAAGCGUCUCAAAUGGAGACAGAAGCCAUGGAUGUCCAACAGUGGGACGGAGGGCAGGGCAGCGCACCGGUCAAGUUCAUGUCCCAGGAGAGUCAUGUCCACAAGACACAACCACAGGCCACCUGCAAACCUGACGUCACAGGUCCUGUCCCAGCUGAGAUUGUUGACAACGGAAGAAACGAGUCCCUGACAGACAGUGUCUCAACCAAUGAUGAUGCUUUACUGCUUCCUGACCACAUACCUACAAUUUCACGCAAAAUAGAGAAAGGCAACGUGAAGCCCAGUAUUCCCAGUGGCUCUGCUAUAAUUCGUACUCCUCCGGCUUCUUCAUCAGGAGGAUCGACGCCGCGCCUGACAACACAACAGAAAUGCAACGGACAUGCAGAGUGCAAUGGACACAAACACCCUCACAGAAAACACACACCCUCCGUUUCCUGGAGCCAGCAGCGCUUCAAGGCUGAUGCCUCGCAGAUACAGAGAGUAGCUGGAGAUGACUGCUGUGCACACUGCAUCCUAGCAUGUCUGUUCUGCGAGGUGCUGUCGUGGUGUUCGGCCGUGGCUCAGUGUUUGGCCUGCGGUCUGGAGUGUGACGCUCUCUGCUGCUGUGGAGAAGCGGCCACCGGUGGUCUGGCGUGCUGUGCUGAGGACACCUGCUCUGCCCUGCUGCAUUGUGGGAUAGUGGAGGACUGUUGCCAGUCUUCAGACUGUCUGGAGAUCUGUGUGGAAUGCUGCUCCAUCUGUUUCACUGCCUAACUGGAUUCUCAACAGACUGAUAUCAACUGCUCAAAAGACUGUAAGCGUUGGGUAUAUAUAUCAUUGUUAUCCCGCAUUUUCUAUUUAUUUAGAAUGAAAAUGAAGUUGUUGCAUCAGUCAAAGUUGGACUGUUCUGUACGAGGUUACUCUCUGAAUUCUGACAGGCUUUAAAUCUGAAGUGUGUUAUUUUUUAAAUACCUACAGAAUCCAUUUUUUAAUGUGAAAUAUUGCUUCGCUUAUUGGAGAAUCGACCAAUGGCGUUAGUUCAGGAAAUCUUUUUAAUUUUUCCAAUUCUGUUUGGUGACACUAGUGGCACAGGAAUGACACACUUCAUCUUUACCGGGGAAGAGCAAAAGAUUUAUCACUUAGACUACCAAUUGUUAGAUAUUUGUAAGUGAAAACAACAUAAAAAUGACUUUUUGAAUAUGGAUGUGGAUGUUUCAAGUUUUUACUUGGUCACAAAAUACAGUAAAAACAGUAAAAUGUGUGAAAUAUUAUUACAGUUUAAAUUACAGUUUUCUAUUUGAAUAGAUUUUAAAAUAUAAUUUAUUCCUGUGAUACAAAGCUGAAUUUUCAGCAUCAUUCCUCCAGUCUUCAGACACAUGAACUUCAGAAAUUAUUCUGAUAUUCUGAUUUGCUGCUCAAGAAACAUUUUGUUAUUAUCAAUGCUGAAAACAGUUGUGCUGCCUAACAUGUAUAUGUUUGAAGCCGUGAUACUUGUUUUAGGAUUAUUUGAUUAAUAGAACUUUUAAAACAACCGCAUUUAUAUGAAAUAGCAAUUUAGUCUUUACUGUCACUUUUGAUAAAUUUUAUGCAUCUUUGCUGAGUAAAAGUAAUUUCUUUUUUACUGACCCCAGACAUUUUAACGGUAUUGUAUAUAUUUGUCACCUAUAACAAGGGGGUUAUUCAGAAAAAGUACCGUAGUUAAUAUUCUGCUGGUCAUGUGAUCACAACAUGAGAGCAAAUCCACCUUUAUGUGGAAUAAUACUUCUUGCAGUUUAUAGUGCUUAGAAAAACAAUCUAGUAAGUCAUUUAUUCUAAAGAAUCAAUUUUAUCUUAAUAGUCAUUCUCUGUUU
RNA transcript from Carassius carassius (crucian carp), 1978 nucleotides. It is a transcript of the gene named myoD family inhibitor domain-containing protein-like, with no coding region annotated. Lineage: Eukaryota; Metazoa; Chordata; Actinopteri; Cypriniformes; Cyprinidae. The transcript has 6 exons. The record is from RefSeq and is a predicted model, not a curated record.